Molecule: ribosomal RNA, 500 nt
Filed under: uncultured bacterium
Lineage: Bacteria
Description: bacterial SSU rRNA
Rfam family: Bacterial small subunit ribosomal RNA
Source: RNAcentral
GAUGAACGCUGGCGGUGUGCCUUAUACAUGCAUGUCGAACGAGGCGUAGCAAUACGUCUAGUGGCAAAUGGGUGAGUAAUAAAUAGGUAACCAACCCUUAAGACGGGGAUACCCCAUCGAAAGAUGGAAUAAUACCCGAUAAUGUCCCUUCCGGUGCGCUGGAGGGGAAGAAAGAUGGCGCAAGCUAUCACUUUUGGACGGGCUUAUUUCCUAUCAGCUAGUUGGUGAGGUAACGGCUUACCAAGGCUACGACGGGUAGCUGGUCUGAGAGGACGGUCAGCCACAUUGGGACUGCGACACGGCCCAGACUCCUACGGGAGGCAGCAGUCGGGAAUAUUCGGCCAAUGCGCGAAAGCGUGACCGAGCGACACCGCGUGGGCGACGAAGAUCUUAGGAUUGUAAAGCCCUUUUGCCAGGGAAGAAUACGCUGGAGACAAUAUCAAUAGCGUUUGACGGUACCUGGCGAAUAAGCCGCAGCAAACUACGUGCCUGCAGCCGAC